AGGCGAUCAUUGGUGGUAGUCUCAUUCUCUAAAAUUAAAAAACGAUGAAGCUCCGGUGAGGGAUCAUCAGGGAAGAUGACCAGAGUUAUCUCAGGUCAUAUGAGUUUCCUUACACGUUGGCAAUUUGAAAUAUUCUGAUUGGUCCAUUUUGAAUUAGAUCCCGUGUUUUAUUUUGGCUAAUUUCCAUCAUACGCCUUAGCCUGAUAGCUGUUGGAUCUGCCACGUCAAUUAAUGAGGUCAUAUCCGACGCUUCGUGUUUUUUAUGAUUUUAUUUAUUUUUCUUU
RNAcentral lists this long non-coding RNA (284 nucleotides) under Lathyrus oleraceus (garden pea). RNAcentral describes it as "Pisum sativum (pea) long non-coding RNA (PSAT_LNC005396)". The record is from RNAcentral. Lineage: Eukaryota; Viridiplantae; Streptophyta; Magnoliopsida; Fabales; Fabaceae.